ACAUAUGUAUACAGAGUGGUUAUUUUGAAUUCCAAUUAACAAACAAAAUUGACGCCCGUAGCUCAUUGAUACAAAACACAAAAUAAAAUCAUGGCCAUUUGUCCCAAUAUAAAUAGGUAUUAUUAAAGCCCGGAACACAAAGAGUACAUAUAAGUGUAUGCCCCUGCCGGGAAGGCAUAACGGCUGGUGUUGGUGUGAGAAGAGAGACAGACCAAAGGGAAGAAGCGGUAUGGAAACAAAAAAAUUCUAAUCAAAUCGGUGAGAGAGGAUAAAUUAAGUGCAAGAAUUAACAUUAAAACUAGCGGCUGUGGUUCUUCUCUUUCA
RNAcentral lists this small RNA (324 nucleotides) under Drosophila pseudoobscura pseudoobscura. RNAcentral describes it as "GA31944". Lineage: Eukaryota; Metazoa; Arthropoda; Insecta; Diptera; Drosophilidae. The record is from RNAcentral.